This is a long non-coding RNA of Lathyrus oleraceus (garden pea), 954 nucleotides long. RefSeq lists it as uncharacterized. Lineage: Eukaryota; Viridiplantae; Streptophyta; Magnoliopsida; Fabales; Fabaceae. The transcript has 3 exons. The record is from RefSeq and is a predicted model, not a curated record.
UCAGUAAUGCCAUACACGGAUCAAAAUCAUCAUAUGGUCAAGUUCCACGUUUUCCAUGUGCAAGUUCAAAAUAUCAAACCAGCUGAACUCCCUUCAUCUGGAAUCUCCUUCGUUGCGCCGGAGGUCGCCUCCGGUGGAGGCGGAGCCUUAACCUCCCAACAAAAUAUAUCAAAUUCUUCAUCUCAUUUCCCUAUUACUAAAUCCAAGGUCCGAUUUCUGAAUAUCUCCAUCACACGUUCAGAUCGAAGCAAAAUUGAUGUGAACCCUAGCCUACCAAAUUAUAGAUUAAAUACUGAGAGGGAGGAAUCAAAUCCUAAUGAGUUAGGGAUUUGAUUCCUCAACUUCAAAGCUAUAUUACUGUAUCAAAGAAAGGAGGAGAAGGAACUUACCUACCAGAGCAACUUCAGCGGUUCUUCCGGUCGCGCAUGAAGGUUUAAGACUUUCCACUUCUUCAGUUAGGGUAAAUGAACUGUUUGCUAUGUUUGUGAAGUGGUUCUAGUUUAUGACUGAACAUUGCUUGACAUAGUUCUGCAGCAGGAAUUCUAAAUUGGCUCAUGGAACAACAUUUCACGCAUGGAGUGUUUCUCGGUUAUGUGGUGAAUUCAAAAAUCAUGAUGAUGCAAGGAUAACUUGCCUCAUCAAAGGUCAUGGUUUCAAGGCAAAAAGGCAUGGAAGCAUACUUGAACUUGGUUCUUGUUUGAAAAAAAUGUGUGAAGAUGCAAAUAGGGAAUGGAGGAGAUUAGGAUUACCAUGAGGCUGAAAAUAGAAUAGGUUAGGACUUAGAAGAUAUGAGUUGACUUUGUUCAACUGGUUGACCAAAAAGUCAACAAUUGACCAAAGUCAACUAUAGGUUAAAAAUCAGAAUUUUGCUUUGUAACUUUUUGUAUAGACAUUGUAACAUGAUUUUAUGUGAAUGAAUGAACAAUUUUGAAUAAAAACGAUGCUUUAAGUUAA